RNAcentral lists this ribosomal RNA (460 nucleotides) under uncultured bacterium. RNAcentral describes it as "partial 16S ribosomal RNA". It matches the Rfam family "Bacterial small subunit ribosomal RNA", at positions 338 to 795 of the family's 1533-position model. The record is from RNAcentral.
CCUACGGGGGGCUGCAGUGAGGAAUAUUGGUCAAUGGCCGGAAGGCUGAACCAGCCAUGCCGCGUGAAGGUCAGUGCCCUAUGGGCGUUAAACUUCUUUUGUGCGGGAGCAAUAAUGGUCACGUGUGGCCAGACGAGAGUACCGUACGAAUAAGCAUCGGCUAACUCCGUGCCAGCAGCCGCGGUAAUACGGGGGAUGCAAGCGUUAUCCGGAUUUAUUGGGUUUAAAGGGUGCGUAGGCUGUGAGGUAAGUCAGCGGUGAAAUGCCCCCGCUCAACGGGGUGAAGUGCCAUUGAUACUGCCGUGCUGGAAUGCGGAUGCCGUGGGAGGAAUGUGUGGUGUAGCGGUGAAAUGCUUAGAUAUCACGAAGAACUCCGAUUGCGAAGGCAGCUCACUGGACUGCAACUGACACUGAGGCUCGAAAGUGUGGGUAUCAAACAGGAUUAGAUACCCCUGUAGUC